This 215-nucleotide unclassified non-coding RNA is filed under the name Hevea brasiliensis (rubber tree). Lineage: Eukaryota; Viridiplantae; Streptophyta; Magnoliopsida; Malpighiales; Euphorbiaceae. The record is from RNAcentral.
GGAGAAUGCAUGGUGAGAGAAGCACCACGAGCAGCGGCCGUGGCUUCCAUAGAAAGAUGAAAGAGGGCGUCAAUGCUCCAAAUCGGUAUGUCUCGGCCUCUGGGAAUGUCCAGAAACCCUAGCUACGGAGGGGGUCGAAGGACGCCCGGGAACUGGGGAGAUGUGCGAUGGGGCGCAGAGAAAAAAGAUUGGGAAUCAGGCAGUGGCAGAUUUGG